Molecule: ribosomal RNA, 498 nt
Filed under: uncultured bacterium
Lineage: Bacteria
Description: partial 16S ribosomal RNA
Rfam family: Bacterial small subunit ribosomal RNA
Source: RNAcentral
AUUGAACGCUGGCGGCAUGCCUUACACAUGCAAGUCGAACGGUAACAGGUCUUCGGAUGCUGACGAGUGGCGAACGGGUGAGUAAUACAUCGGAACGUGCCUAGUCGUGGGGGAUAACUACUCGAAAGAGUGGCUAAUACCGCAUGAGCUCUACGGAUGAAAGCAGGGGAUCGCAAGACCUUGUGCUACUAGAGCGGCCGAUGGCAGAUUAGGUAGUUGGUGGGAUAAAAGCUUACCAAGCCGACGGUCUGUAGCUGGUCUGAGAGGACGAUCAGCCACACUGGGACUGAGACACGGCCCAGACUCCUACGGGAGGCAGCAGUGGGGAAUUUUGGACAAUGGGCGAAAGCCUGAUCCAGCAAUGCCGCGUGCAGGAUGAAGGCCUUCGGGUUGUAAACUGCUUUUGUACGGAACGAAAAGCCCCGGGUUAAUACCCUGGGGUCAUGACGGUACCGUAAGAAUAAGCACCGGCUAACUACGUGCCAGCCGCCGCAGUAA